This 158-nucleotide non-coding RNA is filed under the name Roseospira visakhapatnamensis. RNAcentral describes it as "6S / SsrS RNA". It matches the Rfam family "6S / SsrS RNA". From Rfam's summary of the family: E. coli 6S RNA was the first non coding RNA to be sequenced, but its function was unknown until recently. It consists of 184 nucleotides that fold into an extended hairpin structure with a large single-stranded internal bulge. The 6S RNA specifically associates with RNA polymerase holoenzyme containing the sigma70 specificity factor. The record is from Rfam by way of RNAcentral. Lineage: Bacteria; Pseudomonadati; Pseudomonadota; Alphaproteobacteria; Rhodospirillales; Rhodospirillaceae.
GUGAGGCUGCCCGGUGCGUCAGGCACGCACACUCCCGGGGGCGAUAGUUCAAAUAUGGGAGCUGUCCCUGACGGGACCCUGGUCCCGCCACACGGUGCCCACUUCGUUGCCGCGGCCCAUGUGGAGGUCGCACCGCCAACGGCCAGGGUGGCUUCACA